UACGGAGGAUCCGAGCGUUAUCCGGAUUUAUUGGGUUUAAAGGGUGCGCAGGCGGAAUAUUAAGUCGGCGGUGAAAGUUUGCAGCUUAACUGUAAAAUUGCCGUUGAUACUGGUGUUCUUGAGUGUAUAUGAAGUAGGCGGAAUUUGUAGUGUAGCGGUGAAAUGCAUAGAUAUUACAAGGAACUCCGAUUGCGAAGGCAGCUUACUAAAAUACAACUGACGCUUAGGCACGAAGGCGUGGGUAUCAAACAGG
RNAcentral lists this ribosomal RNA (253 nucleotides) under uncultured bacterium. RNAcentral describes it as "partial 16S ribosomal RNA". It matches the Rfam family "Bacterial small subunit ribosomal RNA", at positions 524 to 776 of the family's 1533-position model. The record is from RNAcentral.